UACGGGGGGGGCAAGCGUUGUUCGGAAUUACUGGGCGUAAAGCGAGUGUAGGUGGUUGUCCAAGUUGGAUGUGAAAGCCUUGAGCUCAACUCAAGAAAUGCAUUCAGGACUGGGCGGCUAGAGGACCGGAGAGGAUAGUGGAAUUCCCAGUGUAGUGGUGAAAUACGUAGAGAUUGGGAAGAACACCAGUGGCGAAGGCGGCUAUCUGGACGGUUUCUGACACUAAGACUCGAAAGCGUGGGGAGCAAACAGG
Molecule: ribosomal RNA, 253 nt
Filed under: uncultured bacterium
Lineage: Bacteria
Description: partial 16S ribosomal RNA
Rfam family: Bacterial small subunit ribosomal RNA
Source: RNAcentral